Molecule: non-coding RNA, 1594 nt
Organism: Aegilops tauschii subsp. strangulata
Lineage: Eukaryota; Viridiplantae; Streptophyta; Magnoliopsida; Poales; Poaceae
Source: RefSeq, a predicted model, not a curated record
UAGAUCAAUGGCUUCUCAAGAUGGAGACGAAGGCUCGGCUGUGGCUGGUGCAGGGAAUGUUACCUCAGUUGAUCCUUCGUCUCAAUGUGCUAUACCAACAUCUGAAGCUACUCCGAUAUCUCAAGCUGCUACUCCAACAUCUGAAGUUGCUACUCUAACAUCUCAAGCUACAGCUAGCAGAGCUGGUUCGAAGAGGAAGCGAACAUCGGCAGUAUGGGAUGAGAUGGAAGAGAAAUUCUAAAAUGGACAAUGGAAAGCCGAGUGCAAUCAUUGUCACAAAAAAUUUACUGCAGGACCUAGAGCUGGCACAACUCACUUGCGUUUACAUUUGGAAUCUUGUCCAGAUAAGCAUGCACCCAUUGGCCCAAAGCAACAAAAAUUGAGGUUGACAAAAGGGUGAAGGUGGCAAAGUUAAUAUGGAAAAUAUCAUUUUUGACCAAGAGAAGUCCAGGAGAGAUCUUGCAUUGAUGAUAUGUGAACAUGAGUAUCCUCUAUCUAUUGUGGAUAAGUUUGAGAAGUAUUGGAAGGAUAAGUUUGAGAAGUAUUGGAAGGAUAUCCAUGGUCUUAUGUCCGUUGCAACAGUUCUUGAUCCAAGGUAUAAACUUCAUAUCCUCAAUGCUCUUUAUGGUCCCCUCUAUGGAAGAGAGCAUGCAGCCGCAGAAAUAGAAAAGGUGAAGAAGUUAUUGAUUCAAUUGGUGAAGCAAUAUAAAGAUGAAGUUGGAGGUGAGGAUGCAUGGGAUGCUUCUGUUGUUGAGCAACUUGGAGAAGAAGAUGAAGCCAUGAAACUCUAUGAUCUGUAUUUGUCUAGUCACCCCACUGUCCCUUCUUCUUCAAUCCAUACAGAAUUGGACUUGUAUUUAGAAGAAGCUCGUCUACCUAGAACGCAAGAAUUGGAUAUCAUCAAUUGGUGGAAGGUUAGCGGCUCUAGGUUUCCUACCUUGCAAAAACUUGCUCGUGAUAUAUUGCCUAUUCCCAUAACAUCGGUGGCUUCCGAAUGUGCGUUUAGCACUAGUGGCAGAGUACUCGCACAUCGUAGUAGACUUACUCCUAGUGUGGCUGAAGCUCUCAUGUGCAUGCAAGCUUGGUCUCGUGCAGAUCUGUUAGGUGGUUGGAAUUCUACACUCUUUGCUACUCCCUCCAUCCGGAAAUACUUGUCAUCAAAAUGAAUAAAAGGAGAUGUAUUUAAAUGUAUUUUAGUUCUAGAUACACCCCUUUUUGUCCAUUUUGAUGGCAAGUUUUUUCGGACGAAGGGAGUACAUUUCAGAGUGUUCUCGAGGAUGAAGAUGAAGAGAUGGAUGAGUCUACUUCAAUCACCACCCAAGAGUGAAGAUAUUGCUGCUCUUUGUGCCGGGUUGGAACUUGGAGCUGAUGGCUGCUAUUUGUGCUAGCUGGUGGCUCGUGUUGUGUCUGCUAUCUGCUAUAUCAGCUGGUUCUGCUAGCUGUCGUUUGUGUUGGCUGAUCGUUGCCUCGGAUAUUUUUAUUUGUUACUUGUCGGAUGUUGAAGUGUGUCAUGAACUUGUGAACCUAUAUUAAAGUCCAUCAAUUGUCAAUUUGAAUUGAGAUAAUUUUCAUAUACUCAUAUAUCUGUUAUUGA